This 74-nucleotide transfer RNA is filed under the name Candidatus Kaiserbacteria bacterium. RNAcentral describes it as "tRNA-Gln". It matches the Rfam family "tRNA". From Rfam's summary of the family: Transfer RNA (tRNA) molecules are approximately 80 nucleotides in length. Their secondary structure includes four short double-helical elements and three loops (D, anti-codon, and T loops). The record is from RNAcentral. Lineage: Bacteria; Candidatus Kaiseribacteriota.
UGCCGGAUCGUCUAAUGGUAGGACUACGGUUUCUGGUACCGUCUAUCGGGGUUCGAAUCCCUGUCCGGCAGCCA